Molecule: transfer RNA, 77 nt
Filed under: Thermoprotei archaeon
Lineage: Archaea; Thermoproteati; Thermoproteota; Thermoprotei
Description: tRNA-Lys
Rfam family: tRNA
About the family: Transfer RNA (tRNA) molecules are approximately 80 nucleotides in length.
Source: RNAcentral
GGGCCCGUAGCUCAGCCUGGUAGAGCGGCGGGCUUUUAACCCGCAGGACCCGGGUUCAAAUCCCGGCGGGCCCGCCA